GAUGAACGCUGGCGGCAUGCCUAAUACAUGCAAGUCGAACGAGAGGAAGGAAAGCUUGCUUUUCUGAAUCUAGUGGCGAACGGGUGAGUAACACGUAGGUAACCUGCCCAUGUGCCCGGGAUAACUUCUGGAAACGGAUGCUAAAACCGGAUAGGUAGCAGACAAGCAUUUGACUGCUAUUAAAGUGGCUAAGGCCAUGAACAUGGAUGGACCUGCGGUGCAUUAGCUAGUUGGUGAGGAAACGGCCCACCAAGGCGACGAUGCAUAGCCGGCCUGAGAGGGCGGAGGGACACAUUGGGACUGAGACACGGCCCAAACUCCUACGGGAGGCAGCAGUAGGGAAUUUUCGUCAAUGGGGGGAACCCUGAACGGGCAAUGCCGCGUGAGCGAGGAAGGUCUUCGGAUCGUAAAGCUCUGUUGUAAGAGAAAAACGACAUUCAUAGGGAAUGAUGAGUGAGUGAUGGUAUCUUACCAGAAAGUCACGGCUAACUACGUGCCAGCAGCCGCCGUAA
RNAcentral lists this ribosomal RNA (512 nucleotides) under uncultured bacterium. RNAcentral's name for it is "partial 16S ribosomal RNA". It matches the Rfam family "Bacterial small subunit ribosomal RNA", at positions 28 to 523 of the family's 1533-position model. The record is from RNAcentral.